Molecule: ribosomal RNA, 483 nt
Filed under: uncultured bacterium
Lineage: Bacteria
Description: bacterial SSU rRNA
Rfam family: Bacterial small subunit ribosomal RNA
Source: RNAcentral
GACGAACGCUGGCGGCGUGCUUAACACAUGCAAGUCGAACGGUAAGGCCCUUCGGGGUACACGAGUGGCGAACGGGUGAGUAACACGUGGGUGAUCUGCCCUGCACUUCGGGAUAAGCCUGGGAAACUGGGUCUAAUACCGGAUAGGACCAUGGACUUCACGGUUUGUGGUGGAAAGCUUUUGCGGUGUGGGAUGGGCCCGCGGCCUAUCAGCUUGUUGGUGGGGUAAUGGCCUACCAAGGCGACGACGGGUAGCCGGCCUGAGAGGGUGUCCGGCCACACUGGGACUGAGAUACGGCCCAGACUCCUACGGGAGGCAGCAGUGGGGAAUAUUGCACAAUGGGCGCAAGCCUGAUGCAGCGACGCCGCGUGAGGGAUGACGGGCCUUCGGGUUGGUAAACCUCUUUCGUAUAGGGACGAAGACGCAAGUGACGGUACCUAUAGAAGAAGACACCGGCCAACUACGUGCCAGCAGCCGCGGUAA